ACGUAGGAGACGAGCGUUAUCCGGAUUUACUGGGCGUAAAGCGCGUGCAGGCGGUUUUUUAAGUCACUUGUGAAAGCGCCCGGCUCAACUGGGCGAGGCCGUGUGAGACUGAAAAACUGGAGGCAGGCAGAGGCAGGUGGAAUUCCGGGUGGAGUGGUGAAAUGCGUAGAGAUCCGGAGGAACCCCAGUGGCGAAGGCGACCUGCUCGGCCUUGCCUGACGCUCAGACGCGAAAGCAUGGGGAGCGAACGG
RNAcentral lists this ribosomal RNA (251 nucleotides) under uncultured prokaryote. Its description in RNAcentral is "partial 16S ribosomal RNA". It matches the Rfam family "Bacterial small subunit ribosomal RNA", at positions 525 to 775 of the family's 1533-position model. The record is from RNAcentral.